RNAcentral lists this small RNA (19 nucleotides) under Arabidopsis thaliana (thale cress). RNAcentral's name for it is "ATSL248530". The record is from RNAcentral. Lineage: Eukaryota; Viridiplantae; Streptophyta; Magnoliopsida; Brassicales; Brassicaceae.
AGGCGAUGAUGAUGAAAAA